Molecule: ribosomal RNA, 395 nt
Filed under: uncultured bacterium
Lineage: Bacteria
Description: partial 16S ribosomal RNA
Rfam family: Bacterial small subunit ribosomal RNA
Source: RNAcentral
AUACGUAGGGUGCAAGCGUUAAUCGGAAUUACUGGGCGUAAAGCGUGCGCAGGCGGUUUUGUAAGACAGUGGUGGAAUCCCCGGGCUCAACCUGGGAACUGCCAUUGUGACUGCAAGGCUGGAGUGCGGCAGAGGGGGAUGGAAUUCCGCGUGUAGCAGUGAAAUGCGUAGAUAUGCGGAGGAACACCGAUGGCGAAGGCAAUCCCCUGGGCCUGCACUGGCGCUCAUGCACGAAAGCGUGGGGAGCAAACAGGAUUAGAUACCCUGGUAGUCCACGCCCUAAACGAUGUCAACUGGUUGUUGGGGAUUUAUUUUCUCAGUAACGAAGCUAACGCGUGAAGUUGACCGCCUGGGGAGUACGGCCGCAAGGUUAAAACUCAAAGGAAUUGACGGGG